This 224-nucleotide signal recognition particle RNA is filed under the name Thraustochytrium sp. LLF1b. RNAcentral describes it as "partial Metazoan signal recognition particle RNA". It matches the Rfam family "Metazoan signal recognition particle RNA", at positions 19 to 252 of the family's 299-position model. From Rfam's summary of the family: The signal recognition particle (SRP) is a universally conserved ribonucleoprotein. Lineage: Eukaryota; Bigyra; Thraustochytrida; Thraustochytriidae. The record is from RNAcentral.
GACCUGUAACGCGUAAGCGGCCGAGUUUGCGAGGAGCUCUUGCGUUACGCGGUCUUCCUCUGCUCCUGCGUGCAGACUUUGCGCCCGCAGAGAGCUCGGUGUCAGCAGGGCCCGUUGCCGCAGGGGAACGGAUCCGGGUGUUGAAUCGUCCCGCAAAGCGCCAGAGAGGAAACUCAGCAGCGAAGAGGGACAGCACCGAGUAGCUCGCGGAACACGUGAAUGAG